CACGAGGUGCAGGGCCUGAAGCAGCUCGUCCUGCAGUACCAGGAGCAGCUGAGGACUCUCGAGGUGACGGUCGACCCCUCCCUCCUCGCCCCUAGGCCCUUCCUUUCGGCAAAUUCACACAUCCUUUUCUGUUUGAUGAUAUAUGAACUGAAGAAUCUACUUUUGUGUCGCAGAUCAACAACUACGCGCUGCAGAUGCAUCUGAAGCAGGCCCAGCAGAGCAGCUCCAUGCCCGGGCGCUACAACCCGGACGUCUUCUAAUUUGGCCUCAGGGCGAUGAUGAUGAGCCCUGGCCCUUGGGGAUUGAGAGUUGAGACUAGUGGUGCCCUGCCGUAUGAUGAUGAUGAAGAUGACUAGAAAAUGUUGUUGUCUGGGAUAGUUGGGUGGAUGUUGGUUUGCUGACCACCCCGUUGGCCGUGGGAUGGGGCGCAAGGCUCCCAUGAUAGAUCAUGUGUUGGUUCAAACGUGUCGCGUUUAAACGAUUUUUCGUAUUUGAUAUAUACACAAAACAAUCCCGAUUCUUUGCAUGAUUGUCAUUCAGUCUGAAACUUGCCUAUUUUCC
This 561-nucleotide long non-coding RNA is filed under the name Triticum aestivum (bread wheat). RNAcentral describes it as "long non-coding RNA (TAES_LNC018564)". The record is from RNAcentral. Lineage: Eukaryota; Viridiplantae; Streptophyta; Magnoliopsida; Poales; Poaceae.